Molecule: ribosomal RNA, 777 nt
Filed under: uncultured bacterium
Lineage: Bacteria
Description: bacterial SSU rRNA
Rfam family: Bacterial small subunit ribosomal RNA
Source: RNAcentral
AGAGUUUGAUCAUGGCUCAGAAUGAACGUUGGCGGCGUGGAUUAGGCAUGCAAGUCGAGCGAGAAUCCCCGCAAGGGGAGGAAAGCGGCGAAAGGGAGAGGAACACGUGGAUCAUCUACCCUUGGGACCGGGAUAGCCACGGGAAACUGUGGGUAAUACCGGAUGAUAUCUUCGGAUCAAAUGGUGUGAUUCCGCCCAGGGAUGAGUCCGCGUCCUAUUAGCUAGUUGGUAGGGUAACGGCCUACCAAGGCCAUGAUGGGUAGCGGGUGUGAGAGCAUGGCCCGCCUCACUGGGACUGAGACACUGCCCAGACACCUACGGGUGGCUGCAGUCGAGGAUCUUCGGCAAUGGGCGCAAGCCUGACCGAGCGACGCCGCGUGCGGGAUGAAGGCCUUCGGGUUGUAAACCGCUGUCGGAGGGGAGGAAAUAUUAGGGGGUUCUCCCCCUAGUUUGACCUAUCCUCGGAGGAAGUACGGGCUAAGUUCGUGCCAGCAGCCGCGGUAAGACGAACCGUACGAACGUUAUUCGGAAUCACUGGGCUUAAAGGGUGCGUAGGCGGCGCAGAAAGUUGGGUGUGAAAGCCCUCGGCUUAACCGAGGAAUUGCGCCCAAAACUACUGUGCUUGAGGGAGACAGAGGUGAGCGGAACUUAGGGUGGAGCGGUGAAAUGCGUUGAUAUCCUAAGGAACACCAGUGGCGAAAGCGGCUCACUGGGUCUCUUCUGACGCUGAGGCACGAAAGCUAGGGGAGCGAACGGGAUUAGAUACCCCCGUAGUCC